This 323-nucleotide unclassified non-coding RNA is filed under the name soil metagenome. Its description in RNAcentral is "partial contains 5.8S ribosomal RNA, internal transcribed spacer 2, and large subunit ribosomal RNA". The stretch from base 1 to 120 matches the Rfam family "5.8S ribosomal RNA", at positions 35 to 154 of the family's 154-position model. The record is from RNAcentral.
GAUGAAGAACGCAGCGAAAUGCGAUAAGUAAUGCGAAUUGCAGAAUUCAGUGAGUCAUCGAAUCUUUGAACGCACAUUGCGCCCUGUGGUAUUCCGCAGGGCAUGCCUGUUCAAGCGUCAUUUCAACCCUCAAGCUCUGCUUGGUGUUGGGCCCUGCCCGCUGCGGCCGGCCCUAAAGACAGUGGCGGUGCCGCCUGGCCCUGAGCGUAGUACAUCUCUCGCUCCAGUGCCCGGUGGUAGCCUGCCAGAACCCCAACUCUCGUGGUUGACCUCGGAUCAGGUAGGGAUACCCGCUGAACUUAAGCAUAUCAAUAAGCGGAGGA